Molecule: ribosomal RNA, 468 nt
Filed under: uncultured bacterium
Lineage: Bacteria
Description: partial 16S ribosomal RNA
Rfam family: Bacterial small subunit ribosomal RNA
Source: RNAcentral
GACGAACGCUGGCGGCGUGCUUAACACAUGCAAGUCGAACGGAAAGGCCCUGCUUUUGUGGGGUGCUCGAGUGGCGAACGGGUGAGUAACACGUGAGUAAACUGCCCUUGACUUUGGGAUAACUUAAGGAAACUGGGGCUAAUACCGGAUAGGAGCUCCUGCUGCAUGGUGGGGGUUGGAAAGUUUCGGCGGUUGGGGAUGGACUCGCGGCUUAUCAGCUUGUUGGUGGGGUAGUGGCUUACCAAGGCUUUGACGGGUAGCCGGCCUUAGAGGGUGACCGGCCACAUUGGGACUGAGAUACGGCCCAGACUCCUACGGGAGGAAGCAGGGGGGAAUAUGGCACAAUGGGCGGAAGCCUGAUGCAGCAACGCCGCGUGCGGGAUGACGGCCUUCGGGUUGUAAACCGCUUUCGCCUGUGACGAAGCGUGAGUGACGGUAAUGGGUAAAGAAGCACCGGCUAACUACGUG